CAGCACCGCACAUCUGAAAUGUAAUUCCGUGAGUGCCAUCUCCUUUCUAGCCCUCACCCGAAGAACAUUAGAGAAAAGAGGUCUACCCUACAUGGAGCAGCUGCCUUGUGCCUCUUACAAGUGCUCCUGGGACUGUCCCAGUCAGGUCUCAGCUGCUGCUGAUUUCUAGAAAAAGGCGCAUUGCCACUAACCCCCCUCAGGAUUGUCCCCAGGACCUGGAACACACCCCGGGGUCUUCCUCACCACUCACUCAAGCAACUCUGGAAGUCCUCCUGUGCGUGUGUCAGCAGCUGUGCUGUCGUGCCUUCUUGACAUCCUGCAUCAGUUCAGAACUUUUCCACUUCGUGGUCAUCCUGUCUUUGGGGAAGCACUGGAAGUCACUUGGUGCCAGACGCAGUGAGUAAAGUGGAUGGGGACACAGUGCCAGGUUUCCACGAGGCUGUCUUCCUGUGGGCCGG
Molecule: long non-coding RNA, 458 nt
Filed under: Chinchilla lanigera (long-tailed chinchilla)
Lineage: Eukaryota; Metazoa; Chordata; Mammalia; Rodentia; Chinchillidae
Description: lncRNA (ENSCLAG00000027189.1)
Source: RNAcentral